GAUGAACGCUGGCGGCGUGCUUAACACAUGCAAGUCGAACGGGAAUUAUUUUAUUGAAACUUCGGUCGCUUUAAUUUAAUUCUAGUGGCGGACGGGUGAGUAACGCGUGGGUAACCUGCCUUAUACAGGGGGAUAACAGUCAGAAAUGGCUGCUAAUACCGCAUAAGCGCACAGAGCUGCAUGGCUCAGUGUGAAAAACUCCGGUGGUAUAAGAUGGACCCGCGUUGGAUUAGCUGUUGGGGGGGUAACGGCCCACCAAGGCGACGAUCCAUAGCCGGCCUGAGAGGGUGAACGGCCACAUUGGGACUGAGACACGGCCCAGACUCCUACGGGAGGCAGCAGUGGGGAAUAUUGCACAAUGGGGGAAACCAUGAUGCAGCGACGCCGCGUGAAGGAAGAAGUAUCUCGGUAUGUAAACUUCUAUAAGCAGGGAAGAUAGUGACGGUACCUGACUAAGAAGCCCCGGCUAACUACGUG
This 477-nucleotide ribosomal RNA is filed under the name uncultured bacterium. RNAcentral describes it as "partial 16S ribosomal RNA". It matches the Rfam family "Bacterial small subunit ribosomal RNA", at positions 28 to 507 of the family's 1533-position model. The record is from RNAcentral.